Oncorhynchus tshawytscha (Chinook salmon) is the source of this 1686-nucleotide long non-coding RNA. Lineage: Eukaryota; Metazoa; Chordata; Actinopteri; Salmoniformes; Salmonidae. The record is from Ensembl.
GCCACACUUUUAUUGAACGAGGAACUAAUAUUGACCAUGGCAACACACUGUAUAACAAGUCAAUAGCAGAGUUUGAGCAUAUUGAGACCUCACGCUGUUCACACACACGCACACACACACACACACACGCACACACGCACGCACGCACACGCACACACACACACACACACACACACACACACACACACACACACACACACACACACACACACACACACACACACACACACACACACACACACACACACAGAAAACUGUACAAGCUAAACACUUACUGCUGGUUCAGUAGAACGGAGAUCAUGUCACCUUCAAACACCACGACAUCCUCACUAGUAAACUGAUAUGUAUAGACAACUCGUCCCCUGAAAGCAGCACUCCUCAAUCUCUGAUUCCAAAAUGAUGAUUGGGGAGUGCUGACUUCAACAUGGAUACCUAAAUACUGCCACUCCAAUGCAUGUUGCAAUUAAACUAGUCAAUAAAUACACUACUAAAUAAAACAUCACCCACAAGCAGAAACACACAACUGAUACAAACCUCAAAGAGAACAGUACUCAAUCUGUUUCAGAUGUAGAAAAACAAACACAACAUGAUACUCGUUAGUCAAACAAAGUACAGCAGGGGGAGAGAAAAACACAAGAGAAAAAACAACCUCUAAACAGAUCCUAGUUUGAUUUCCUCAGAGGGUUUUGUUUGGUCACCGUUUAUACCCUUCACCCAGAGAGGGAAGAAGUUGCCCCUAGACACUGGUCUGAGGUCAGUUGUGUUUUCCCACUUGAUAGUUAAGGAUUUUGAAAGGGCACUGAUCCUAGAUCAGUUCCUAUGGACAUCGUCUACCUGGAGCACUGUCAACCAAGAGAGCUGUCCAGUGAUAGGAUGACAGGAGUGUUUCCAGACUUAAGAACAUUCAGAGAAAGGUAGCAUACACAGAACACUUCUCUGAGUUCUCUUUGAGGGUUCUAGAGUAAUAGGAACCCGGUUCCCCUCUCAGUGUCUCUCUGCUGACAGGGAGUGGUUCCUUUGGCACGGUACAUUGAGAAGGUCCAUGUGGAUCUGAGGUCCAUGUUGUGGACCAUGCUAAUGCUAUCCGUAUGUGGCUACGUAAACAAACCCACAUCAGGAUUUGCUCUCUCCCAUAGUCUUUCAAGGGCUCACAAACUAUCUAAAAAAACGACACACAAAAAAAUUAUGUUUGGUCACUCUCAAUGGUCCUUUCUGAUUGGUCCUUCUGGUUUUUAGGCUGACUAGUUUGUUGUCUAGGAUUUAUCAUUCAGUCAGUGAACCUGGCAGGGGCAGCGAGAUGAUUGGUUGACUGUUGGAGAGUUAAAGUCGUAGUUCAUAAGUACAGUGGAAACAGUCAGGGUUACAUGUCCAACGGAGCCUCGGAGGUCAUGGGACUUUACGAGUCUCGGCUCUCUGAUUGUCAAACACGGGGAGGAAAGAGAGCAUCUCUGCAACGGAAGGCGGGAAAAGGAUUGUCUUCAACCAUGGCAGGUGGGCAGGAUCCUGGGACUCUGCUGCAGCCAGUCUGGUCCCUGGAUCAGCAGACAGGGCCCAGGCAGAAAGACGGGGCCCAGGAAGGCAGAAAGGCAGGAACCAGGCAGGCAGGAACUAGGCAGGCAGGAACUAGGCAGGCAGGCAGGGACCAGGCAGGCAGACAGGGACCAGGCAGGCAGGCAGGGACUAGGC